UGACCUAUGGUGUAAUGGCAACACAGCAGAUUUUGAUUCUGUCGUUCAAAGUUCGAAUCUUUGUAGGUCAA
RNAcentral lists this transfer RNA (71 nucleotides) under Bacteroidota bacterium. RNAcentral's name for it is "Bacteroidetes bacterium (cold seep metagenome) tRNA-Gln". It matches the Rfam family "tRNA". Rfam says of the family: Transfer RNA (tRNA) molecules are approximately 80 nucleotides in length. Their secondary structure includes four short double-helical elements and three loops (D, anti-codon, and T loops). Lineage: Bacteria; Pseudomonadati; Bacteroidota. The record is from RNAcentral.